AUGUGGCCGCUUUUGUCUUAUAACAGUUUGGAGGUGGCGGUGGCUGAUAUAGCUGUAAUUGCAGGUGUGUUGACGAACCGCCCCAAAGAGGAAGUGUCCGGAUCAUCAAAUGAUCUUCUGCAGGAGCUGUCACAGUUGCAUGAGCAAGCUCGACAGGCUAUGCGGAGUGUAGCCAAGGCUUUAUGGCCAUCCGACUCCCCUCCAGGAAGCAUGGAAAAGCUGGUAGAGCUAUUCAAGGGAGUGCGGCAGCGUAUCCGGCUAUGGAAGAUAGCUGCCUGCCGAGAGGGUGCGCGAGAGGCCUGGGCCAUGGUGAAGACGCGCUAUACCAAGCUGGAUCCUAAUCACAUGGCUCACGUCGGGCCGGUAGGGCCGAAUGGGGAAGAAAUUCCUAUUAGUAUAGUAUAUGGCCAAGUAGAGGUGGCCGCCAAAUAUUGCCAACAGGAUUGUAAGUUAGACUGCCUGUUGGAAGGUGUAGAGGAAGAGGUGUUCGAGUUCAAAUGA
Molecule: ribosomal RNA, 501 nt
Filed under: Triticum aestivum (bread wheat)
Lineage: Eukaryota; Viridiplantae; Streptophyta; Magnoliopsida; Poales; Poaceae
Description: partial small subunit ribosomal RNA
Source: RNAcentral